GCAGCUGCUUCUGCGCUGAAGUGGGAUCCAAGUGAUUUUGCCGAGGUCGUGGCAAGAGUCAGCAGCAGAAGUAAGAGCAGAGUGAAAUCUGAGGAUUCCCAGGACUUUAGCUGUACAGUCUUAGUAAAAUCAUCCACUCCUUCACCAAAACAGCCCUUCACUGUACCGGGGAAAGCAGACUCCAAAACGCAGCAACUGAGCAAACUGUCUGUGCUGGCGGUUGCAAAGGGCCGCCGUCCGCCAAGUGCAGCUGCUGCAAAUAGGGCUCCGCCGGCGGCCCGCCUGCCGCUCCGCUGUACGCACGGAAACCGGAAGAAGAAUAACUUUAUUGUGUGUGGUUUUUUUUUACAUGUGUUCAGUAUUUGUCCUGCGCGACACGUAAUAAGCUUCCUAAAUAAAGUUACCUGUAUAUACAUACCUACAAGGAACCUGUCGCCGGCGACUCGCUGUCGGCAAAGGCAGUUCUACCCUCGCCUAGCUGCACGUAGCAGGAGAGCUGGAAACACGGCGGGGUCCCAGGGGAGCCGGGUCCUCGCUGACCCCCUUGGCUUGUGCGGACGGUCGGUCUUGUUUUGCCCCUCGUUCUUCAAACCCGGCCUCAAACGUGCCCUCCCUAAAAGCAGCACACGCUCUUCGUGUGACGCUUCCCCUUCUCAACAGGGCAAUUUUCUCUCUCUAUACUUUUUUUUUGCCUGUUGUUCCCCGUGCUCUUUCCUGCCCCAGAAAUCCUCGGGGCUAAUGAGCACCUCGUUAAUACAGGCAUUCAUUGACGGCGUAAUAAACACCGCAGCCGUGCCCGUUUCCAGGGGUACCAUUUCUACAACAGGCUCCAGGCGUCGCAGCAGCAGACCGAGCGCGUUUGCCCUCCCGGCAGUUCAGCUCCACUGCAAGAACCACGGCAGUUUUCCCCCUGCCCAGACCACCGGCCCGGUGGCAGAUUUUCCACGGGGAACCAGGGUUUUUGGUCCCUCUCCAAGCUGCCGCCACGCCGCUGCUCGGUCCCGGCGCCGCGCUGCUUCGCUGGGAUGUGCAAGGGCUCUUGGGCAUCCCGGGGCUCUCCAGAGGCAGCUUUCCACGGCCAGACCUCUUCUCAGCUGCGGGAGCUUUUCUGAGCCGACGUCAGCAACCGCUGCAGGAACGCGGACAGGUUCGGCGCGGCGGAGAGCAUCCCCGGCUGCCAGCCGCCCGCGGGGCCGUUCC
This 1200-nucleotide long non-coding RNA is filed under the name Struthio camelus australis. Its description in RNAcentral is "lncRNA (ENSSCUG00000011447.1)". The record is from RNAcentral. Lineage: Eukaryota; Metazoa; Chordata; Aves; Struthioniformes; Struthionidae.